RNAcentral lists this ribosomal RNA (421 nucleotides) under uncultured bacterium. Its description in RNAcentral is "bacterial SSU rRNA". It matches the Rfam family "Bacterial small subunit ribosomal RNA", at positions 355 to 773 of the family's 1533-position model. The record is from RNAcentral.
UGAGGAAUAAUGGGCAAUGCCCGCAAGGGUGACCCAGCAACGCCGCGUGGAGGAUGAAUGUCGUAAGAUUGUAAACUCCUGUUAGAGGGGAAGAAUAGUACCGGUUGGACCGGUAUAUGACUGUACCCUCAGAGAAAGCCCCGGCUAACUACGUGCCAGCAGCCGCGGUAAUACGUAGGGGGCAAGCGUUGUCCGGAUUUACUGGGUGUAAAGGGCGCGCAGGCGGGAUAAAAAGUCAGUGGUGAAAUCCUACAGCUUAACUGUAGAACUGCCUUUGAUACUUUUAUUCUUGAGUUCGGGAGAGAGAGACGGAAUUCCAGGGGUAGUGGUGAAAUACGUAGAUAUCUGGAAGAACACCAGUUGCGAAGGCGGUCUCUUGGUCCGACACUGACGCUGAGGCGCGAAAGCGUGGGGAGCAAAC